Molecule: unclassified non-coding RNA, 337 nt
Filed under: soil metagenome
Description: partial contains 5.8S ribosomal RNA, internal transcribed spacer 2, and large subunit ribosomal RNA
Rfam family: 5.8S ribosomal RNA (bases 1-120)
Source: RNAcentral
GAUGAAGAACGCAGCGAAAUGCGAUAAGUAGUGUGAAUUGCAGAAUUCAGUGAAUCAUCGAAUCUUUGAACGCACAUUGCGCCCCUUGGUAUUCCAUGGGGCAUGCCUGUUCGAGCGUCAUUUGUAUCUUCAAGCUCUGCUUGGUGUUGGGUGUUUGUCUCGCCUCUGCGUGUAGACUCGCCUCAAAACAAUUGGCAGCCGGCGUAUUGAUUUCGGAGCGCAGUACAUCUCGCGCUUUGCACUCAUAACGACGACGUCCAAAAGUACAUUUUUACACUCUUGACCUCGGAUCAGGUAGGGAUACCCGCUGAACUUAAGCAUAUCAAUAAGCGGAGGA